Molecule: ribosomal RNA, 455 nt
Filed under: Cortinarius lucorum
Lineage: Eukaryota; Fungi; Basidiomycota; Agaricomycetes; Agaricales; Cortinariaceae
Description: eukaryotic LSU rRNA
Rfam family: 5.8S ribosomal RNA (bases 145-298)
Source: RNAcentral
CUGCUGGCUCUCUAGGGAGCAUGUGCACACCUUGUCAUCUUUAUAUCUCCACCUGUGCACCUUUUGUAGACCUUUCAGGUCUCUGUUGCUUUUUCAUUUACCCCAAUGUAUGUUAAUAGAAUGUUGUGCCUAUAAAAUCUAUACAACUUUCAGCAACGGAUCUCUUGGCUCUCGCAUCGAUGAAGAACGCAGCGAAAUGCGAUAAGUAAUGUGAAUUGCAGAAUUCAGUGAAUCAUCGAAUCUUUGAACGCACCUUGCGCUCCUUGGUAUUCCGAGGAGCAUGCCUGUUUGAGUGUCAUUAAUAUAUAUAUCAACCUUCUCUUGUAGAGUGGUUUGGAUGUGGGGGUUUGCUGGGCCUCUUAAGAGGUUCAGCUCCCCUGAAAUGCAUUAGCGGAACAAACCUUGUUCAUUGGCGUGAUAACUAUCUAUGCUAUGAAAGCAAGGGGGAAGUUCAG